RNAcentral lists this ribosomal RNA (385 nucleotides) under uncultured bacterium. RNAcentral's name for it is "bacterial SSU rRNA". It matches the Rfam family "Bacterial small subunit ribosomal RNA", at positions 29 to 440 of the family's 1533-position model. The record is from RNAcentral.
AACGAACGCUGGCGGCAGGCCUAACACAUGCAAGUCGAGCGGGACCUUCGGGUCUAGCGGCGGACGGGUUAGUAACGCGUGGGAACGUGCCCAAAGGUACGGAAUAGCCUCGGGAAACUGAGAGUAAUACCGUACGUGCCCCGUACGGGGGAAAGAUUUAUCGCCUUUGGAUCGGCCCGCGUUGGAUUAGGUAGUUGGUGGGGUAAUGGCCUACCAAGCCGACGAUCCAUAGCUGGUUUGAGAGGAUGAUCAGCAACACUGGGACUGAGACACGGCCCAGACUCCUACGGGAGGCAGCAGUGGGGAAUCUUAGACAAUGGGCGCAAGCCUGAUCCAGCAAUGCCGCGUGUGUGAAGAAGGCCUGGGUUGUUAAGGCACUUUAUUC